This 303-nucleotide unclassified non-coding RNA is filed under the name Hevea brasiliensis (rubber tree). Lineage: Eukaryota; Viridiplantae; Streptophyta; Magnoliopsida; Malpighiales; Euphorbiaceae. The record is from RNAcentral.
GUUGUUUGAUUAUAUUCCUUUUUGUCAAUUUUGAGAAUUUCGUUUUAAAUGUAUGCGCACAUGUAUGUAAUAAGGUUGGAGGGGGGGUUGGGAGGGAAGGUGUGAAGGGAAAUACCUUUCAUCACAAGAGAUAAAAAUAUGGAUUGCCUAACUGUUAGCUUCAAAUUUAUAAUACACAGUAUAGAUUUAUUAUUUAUUUGUUUGGAGUUUGUUGUAGUAUGUGGUUCUCACUUAAAUAAAUAAAUCUGUAUUAGAAUUUUAAUGGUUGAUUGAUAUAUCUAGGAUAACAUGUCAAGCAUGAGC